This 279-nucleotide ribosomal RNA is filed under the name uncultured bacterium. RNAcentral describes it as "partial 16S ribosomal RNA". It matches the Rfam family "Bacterial small subunit ribosomal RNA", at positions 335 to 632 of the family's 1533-position model. The record is from RNAcentral.
AGCCUACGGGGGGCAGCAGUAGGGAAUAUUGCUCAAUGGGGGAAACCCUGAAGCAGCAACGCCGCGUGGAGGAUGAAGGUUUUCGGAUUGUAAACUCCUUUUGUUAGAGAAGAUAAUGACGGUAUCUAACGAAUAAGCACCGGCUAACUCCGUGCCAGCAGCCGCGGUAAUACGGAGGGUGCAAGCGUUACUCGGAAUCACUGGGCGUAAAGAGCGCGUAGCCGGGCUGACAAGUCAGAUGUGAAAUUCCGGGGCUCAACCCCGGACCUGCAUUUGAAA